Drosophila ananassae is the source of this 2726-nucleotide RNA transcript. RefSeq lists it as uncharacterized. The record is from RefSeq and is a predicted model, not a curated record. The transcript has 3 exons. Lineage: Eukaryota; Metazoa; Arthropoda; Insecta; Diptera; Drosophilidae.
GUGGAUUAAUCAGGGCAUUUAGCGAUUGACGAGCAAAGGCGACUGGCGGCGCCCCUUGUCUCGAUUCGGCCGGUGUCACGUAUCAGUUGGAAAACAUUUUCCGCGCGGCAUGCUCUCAGCUCGAACAAACGAAUGCAAAUAGUCGCCACAAAGUUGCAAUGACAAUCGCUAAAUAAAUUAAAUAAAAUUCCCGAUAUUUUAAAAGUCUUCUCGAAGCUUCUGACAAAUUGAAUGACGGUUAAGUUAAAAAAAAAAAGUAGCAGUGAUGGAUAGGCUUAAAAAUAAGUAUCUAUAUAAAUUUCAUCUCAAUUCCAAAUUCAAGCACAACAAAUCGAAAUAAUUGCACAAAAAAAGAACCUUACCCCUUGGCGUCUUAUGGUAUUGCGAUUUUAAUAACAUUUUCAAAAAUAUAUUGCCCCCAACUGUCUGGUGGUGAGUUGAGGAAAAAGAUACCCCAAAACUCUGUUUAUCCAGAAACAACAUCAUCAAACACAACCUAAAUCGGUGGACUUAUCAACGCUCCACAGAGCAGCCGCAAAAACAAUAAACCAUUUGGCAAUUGUCUUUCUAACAUCCUGAAAACCAUCUCAGGACCUCAUUCGCAUCCUGUUUCUGUUUGUGUUCCUGGUCGAACUCACGUCGUUUGAUGGGCAUAAAGUGAAAUAAUAAAACAUUUUAACUCGACAUUUGAUGGCUGCUUUUAUUUUUAUUUGUGCGGCAUAGCGACCGGCAAAUAAAAACAGAACCCAAAAACUGAAACCGAAACCGAACUCCGGAUUCACCUUGGAGCGAUUUAAUUUUUAUGAUCCUGCCACAAAGGAGACAGAAAUCGUAAACGGGAAGAUGGAUGCCACCGGGAUGAAGACAAACUCCUUGUAACGAGGCGAAAUUUAUGCAAUUAGAAAUUAAUAUUAUACAAUUUGAUCCAUGGCCUUAUGGCCGGGACACGCGCAUCGAGUGUCAUAAAUGUUAGUAACUGCAUGUUUAUGCCACAUUUUGAAUGGGGGCGUGACAUGACAGCCUUCCAAGGAAUUCUCUCCGCCAUCCUGCAACACAAUUUUAAUGCGCAGUACAGCCAGAAAUUAAUAUUGUCACCGUGAAUGGGAUUGGAUCUGCAUUGUUUGGCAACAAAUUCGCUUUGCAUCCUCUUCCCAUUGGCGAUAACUUUUAUUAAUCAUUUAAUUCGGCUGUAAAAAGUUGUGGGUGUAUGGGUACAGUUCUGCCGGAUGCCGAUAAGCCUUAAACACAACGUGGGAAUCUGCCAAGUGUCCGCCAAUGUCCAGGACUAAGAAUACCCUGAGGGAUUACCGCCGCUGAAGUAUCCAAAGAUACAAAGUCAUUACGACGCAGCGCAUUCAUAAUUAAAAAUGUUUACACAAAUCAACGGCUUCAGGGUCCUGUAGAAUUUCUAUGAAACGCAAUGAGCGUAAUGGAGUUUGAUCCUAAUUAGUCAGCAGAAGGAUAGGACUCCAGAAAGCCCUGCAAUUCAUCCUGUACUUUCUAUUGUAAAAUGAGUAUAUCUUCAGUUAAAAGAUUUUAAAAGACUGUUCUUUUUCUUAACUCCAUUACGCACAAAACUCUUCCACUAAUCAACAGCUGAAUUAGAAAAUCAACCUCCUGAACUUUGCUCAAUUUUUUUAAGGACUCUUACUCGAGGGAACUGCUUCCCCAUUCAAAAAAUAUAACCCCGUGGCUAAUUACUAAUUCAGGCAAAAUGCUCGCUAAAAAAAUACACCAUAAUUCAAUGGAUCCGAGGGGUGGACUUUCCAGCUCAGGAAGCUAUACAGGGGAAAUCCAAUAAAUGGAACCAAAAAUGUGCGUACAUCAAGGAGCAUUUCGGCGGAUGAGGAGGUGGACACUUUGCAUAGCUAAGUGAAUUUCUAGCUGCAUAAAUCGAACUUUCACUUUUUUUUGGGUACUUUCUUUCAUACUUUCGUCCUUUCAGCACUUGGCCACCCAGGACACGUAACGCUGGACAAGGAACAGGAAACGGAAACCAAAAAAGGACGAGGACAGCUGCCGCUACGGAAAGAAGGAGCAGAUUUUCCAGGAAAAGGAAAUCUUUAAAGUCGUGUCGCGAGUAGCGAAAAUCCAGCAUUUUAUUAACGAUGGCCCGCUGAGGAAACCGGGAACUCCAACUAAUCGCAACCCUUUGGGCGCGGAAAAGCAAUCUCAGUUUUUAGCCAAAAGGGCGAAACUAUCAAAACUAUUCGGAGUGACGAUGGCAGCAGUGAAAGCGGCGCACCCAGGACACAAAUGGGACAUACAGGAUGCCCGGGAGACGCUCUGCCAAUUAACAGUUACAUGUGUUUGAAGGAAAUAAUUGGGUUGCGUGACAACGAGGACAACGGCGACAUGGCGAAAGGGGCGAGGUUCGGGCGGGAUAAAUAGUAAAUAAAUAGAGCUGCUCUAUUAAAAGCAAACAAACCCACACGCGGAUAAACUAUGCAAUUAUAGUGAUUGCUGAUAGUGCGUCAUCGUCAUCAUUGGGGAAAGGCACACGGUACUAUCGUCCUUGUUCUCGUUCUUCUUUCCAGUCCCAUCAUAAUUAUCGUCAUCAUCAAAGUCUGCCGCAGGACAAAGGCGUUGCUAAAGUUAUUAACGCGUCAUGCGGCGUCAAUCAACUUGGGGCUUCUCCAGGACCAAUUUGCAUGUAACUACACUGGCAGAAGUGUUUAGUUUUUGAAACGUGUUUUAUCUAAAGAAAAUAUAUUCCUAAUACUAGA